AAAUUAGAGUUUGAUCCUGGCUCAGAACGAAACGCUGGCGGCAGAGCUUAACACAUGCCAAGUCGAGCGCCCCGCAAGGGGAGCGGCAGACGGGUGAGUAACGCGUGGGAAUCUACCCAUCCCUACGGAACAACUCCGGGAAACUGGAGCUAAUACCGUAUACGCCCUUAGGGGGAAAGAUUUAUCGGGGAUGGAUGAGCCCGCGUUGGAUUAGCUAGUUGGUGGGGUAAAGGCCUACCAAGGCGACGAUCCAUAGCUGGUCUGAGAGGAUGAUCAGCCACAUUGGGACUGAGACACGGCCCAAACUCCUACGGGAGGCAGCAGUGGGGAAUAUUGGACAAUGGGCGCAAGCCUGAUCCAGCCAUGCCGCGUGAGUGAUGAAGGCCUUAGGGUUGUAAAGCUCUUUCACCGGUGAAGAUAAUGACGGUAACCGGAGAAGAAGCCCCGGCUAACUUCGUGCCAGCCGCCGCGGUAAUAC
This 478-nucleotide ribosomal RNA is filed under the name uncultured bacterium. RNAcentral's name for it is "bacterial SSU rRNA". It matches the Rfam family "Bacterial small subunit ribosomal RNA", at positions 1 to 526 of the family's 1533-position model. The record is from RNAcentral.